Mya arenaria is the source of this 958-nucleotide long non-coding RNA. RefSeq lists it as uncharacterized. The record is from RefSeq and is a predicted model, not a curated record. NCBI's taxonomy places the organism in Eukaryota, Metazoa, Mollusca, Bivalvia, Myida, Myidae. The transcript has 3 exons.
CAGAUCAUCCAUUUAGGGAUUUAGAUAUGUUACCCCAGCCACCAGGCUGAAUGUUUAACCGUCACCAGACACUCUGCCAUGAAUGUGAGAGAGUUUAAAGCUAUUUCUUAUUUUCCUGUGUAACUAUAUUGAUGUUUGAUUAAAUUUACGCCGUCGUGUUACUGAGUAACAAUUUGAAAUUGGGCCAAAAUCAUCAAGCUAGAGUUUUGCAUAAUCUUUUUCAAACUUCUGGGAGAUUUCUGCCCUUGAAAGUAUUUGCUCGCAGCCCGCCUCAAAGUUACACUUCGUUCAGUAUUUAAAGCUUUCGGAUACACUUUUUUGUUAAUUUGAGAUCUUAAUGACGCUACAUUGUACUUCUAAGUAAAUAGAUGCUCAAAGUAACAAGAUGCUCUGGGUGUUCACUGGGUGACAAAGGCUACCCAGUAUUGGUUGUUUCUUUUUUCUGAAAAGAUGUUUCUAGUGAAUUGCCAAGUUGCAGUGGUUUUGACGCCACAGAACCAGCACAGCUCCAUGACAGAUAUAUAUGUUUUCGUCAUUGAUGUCAGUACUGCUGUAUUGGUGGCCUCACAAUUUCUGUGUGGAAAUGUCAUCUGAUACACUCAUAACGGCGUAUUUCUAGCAUAGCUUUCAUAAGUGCAUGGCCAUUCUCUGUCAUUUUCAGAUACACUGUGUUGUGUGUGGAUAAGAAAUGCAGAGUGGUACCACCAAUUACCUAAGCCACCAUUCCCCUAACAGACAAAAGGCUCAUGGGGACAGUUCCUGCAGUUUACAGCAAAUUGUAGCCCUACAAACUUCAGAUACUGCCAAGCUUGGGUGCACUGGGCCGGUUAUCCAGCCGUGUGGAAUCAACAUCUCCAGCUGAACUUGGGCCGGGAAUUAUAUAAGAAUCCUUAGCAGCAUGAGUGCCAGCCAGUCAUUGCUGUUCUUUGCAUUGCUGAGGAGGACAGUCCUGCCAACA